This 281-nucleotide ribosomal RNA is filed under the name uncultured bacterium. Its description in RNAcentral is "partial 16S ribosomal RNA". It matches the Rfam family "Bacterial small subunit ribosomal RNA", at positions 334 to 629 of the family's 1533-position model. The record is from RNAcentral.
UUUGCCUACGGGGGGCAGCAGUGGGGAAUAUUGCACAAUGGGGGAAACCCUGAUGCAGCAACGCCGCGUGAGUGAAGAAGUAUUUCGGUAUGUAAAGCUCUAUCAGCAGGGAAGAAAGAAAUGACGGUACCUGACUAAGAAGCCCCGGCUAACUACGUGCCAGCAGCCGCGGUAAUACGUAGGGGGCAAGCGUUAUCCGGAUUUACUGGGUGUAAAGGGAGCGUAGACGGCGAUGCAAGUCUGAAGUGAAAGGCGGGGGCCCAACCCCCGGACUGCUUUGG